GCCGGUGUGAUGGAAUGGUAGACGUAGUGGACUCAAAAUCCACCGCCAGCGAUGGCGUGCCGGUUCGAGUCCGGCCACCGGCACCA
Molecule: transfer RNA, 86 nt
Filed under: Bacillota bacterium
Lineage: Bacteria; Bacillati; Bacillota
Also listed under: 3 other names
Description: tRNA-Leu
Rfam family: tRNA
About the family: Transfer RNA (tRNA) molecules are approximately 80 nucleotides in length. Their secondary structure includes four short double-helical elements and three loops (D, anti-codon, and T loops). Further hydrogen bonds mediate the characteristic L-shaped molecular structure. tRNAs have two regions of fundamental functional importance: the anti-codon, which is responsible for specific mRNA codon recognition, and the 3' end, to which the tRNAs corresponding amino acid is attached (by aminoacyl-tRNA synthetases). tRNAs cope with the degeneracy of the genetic code in two manners: having more than one tRNA (with a specific anti-codon) for a particular amino acid; and 'wobble' base-pairing, i.e. permitting non-standard base-pairing at the 3rd anti-codon position.
Source: RNAcentral